This 440-nucleotide ribosomal RNA is filed under the name uncultured bacterium. RNAcentral's name for it is "bacterial SSU rRNA". It matches the Rfam family "Bacterial small subunit ribosomal RNA", at positions 338 to 770 of the family's 1533-position model. The record is from RNAcentral.
CCUACGGGAGGCAGCAGUGGGGAAUUUUGGACAAUGGGCGCAAGCCUGAUCCAGCCAUGCCGCGUGAGUGAAGAAGGCCUUCGGGUUGUAAAGCUCUUUCGGCAGGAACGAAAUGGUUCGUGCUAAUACCACGGACUGAUGACGGUACCUGAAGAAGAAGCACCGGCUAACUACGUGCCAGCAGCCGCGGUAAUACGUAGGGUGCAGGCGUUAAUCGGAAUUACUGGGCGUAAAGCGUGCGCAGGCGGUUUCUUAAGUCAGAUGUGAAAGCCCCGGGCUUAACCUGGGAACUGCGUUUGAAACUGAGAGACUUGAGUGUGGCAGAGGGGGGUGGAAUUCCACGUGUAGCAGUGAAAUGCGUAGAUAUGUGGAGGAACACCGAUGGCGAAGGCAACCCCCUGGGUCAACACUGACGCUCAUGCACGAAAGCGUGGGGAGCA